UACGUAGGGUGCAAGCGUUAAUCGGAAUUACUGGGCGUAAAGCGUGCGCAGGCGGUGAUGUAAGACAGUUGUGAAAUCCCCGGGCUCAACCUGGGAACUGCAUUCGGGACUGCAUUGCUAGAGUAUGGGAGAGGGAAGUGGAAUUUCAGGUGUAGCGGUGAAAUGCGUAGAUAUCUGAAGGAACAUCAGUGGCGAAAGCGACUUCCUGGACCAAUACUGACGCUCAUGUGCGAAAGUGUGGGGAGCGAACAGG
This 253-nucleotide ribosomal RNA is filed under the name uncultured bacterium. RNAcentral's name for it is "partial 16S ribosomal RNA". It matches the Rfam family "Bacterial small subunit ribosomal RNA", at positions 524 to 776 of the family's 1533-position model. The record is from RNAcentral.